RNAcentral lists this unclassified non-coding RNA (146 nucleotides) under uncultured Cenococcum. RNAcentral's name for it is "sequence contains ITS2". Lineage: Eukaryota; Fungi; Ascomycota; Dothideomycetes; Gloniales; Gloniaceae. The record is from RNAcentral.
CACCACUCAAGCCUGGCUUGGUGUUGGGCGACGUCCCCUUUAGGAACGCGCCUCGAAACGCUCGGCGGCGUGGCACCGGCUUUAAGCGUAGCAGAAUCUUUCGCUUUGGAAGUCGGGGCCCCGCCUGCCGGAAUACCUACUCGUAA